UUCAAUUGAAGAGUUUGAUCUUGGCUCAGAUUGAACGCUGGCGGUAUGCUUAACACAUGCAAGUCGAACGGUAACAGGCUCUUCGGAGUGCUGACGAGUGGCGGACGGGUGAGUAAUACGUAGGAAUCUGCCCAGAAGCGGGGGACAACUUGGGGAAACUCAAGCUAAUACCGCAUAAUCCCUACGGGGAAAAGCAGGGGAUCUUCGGACCUUGCGCUUUUGGAUGAGCCUACGUCAGAUUAGCUUGUUGGUAGGGUAAAGGCCUACCAAGGCAACGAUCUGUAGCUGGUCUGAGAGGAUGAUCAGCCACACUGGGACUGAGACACGGCCCAGACUCCU
Molecule: ribosomal RNA, 339 nt
Filed under: Francisellaceae bacterium
Lineage: Bacteria; Pseudomonadati; Pseudomonadota; Gammaproteobacteria; Thiotrichales; Francisellaceae
Description: bacterial SSU rRNA
Rfam family: Bacterial small subunit ribosomal RNA
Source: RNAcentral